Molecule: ribosomal RNA, 424 nt
Filed under: uncultured bacterium
Lineage: Bacteria
Description: bacterial SSU rRNA
Rfam family: Bacterial small subunit ribosomal RNA
Source: RNAcentral
GCUAAACGCGAAGAACCUUACCCAGGCUUGACAUCCUGUUAAUCACUCCGAAAGGAGAGAGUGCCUUCGGGCCGCAGUGACAGGUGAUGCAUGGCCGUCGUCAGCUCGUGUCGUGAGAUGUUUGGUUAAGUCCAUCAACGAGCGCAACCCUUAUGAGUAGUUGUAUUUCUCUACUCAGACUGCCCUGGUAACAGGGAGGAAGGAGGGGAUGAUGUCAGGUCAGUAUCUCCCUUACGUCUGGGGCUACAAACACGCUACAAUGGCCGGUACAAAGGGCAGCCAACCCGCGAGGGGGAGCAAAUCCCAUCAAAGCCGGUCUCAGUUCGGAUUGUAGGCUGAAACUCGCCUGCAUGAAGCUGGAAUCGCUAGUAAUCGCGCAUCAGCAUUGUCGCGGUGAAUACGUUCCCGGGUCUUGUACACACCG